GAUGAAGAACGUAGCGAAAUGCGAUACGUAAUGUGAAUUGCAAAUUCAGUGAAUCAUCGAGUCUUUGAACGCACAUUGCGCCCCCUGGUAUUCCGGGGGGCAUGCCUGUCCGAGCGUCAUUGCUGCCCUCAAGCACGGCUUGUGUGUUGGGCCCCGUCCUCCGAUUCCGGGGGACGGGCCCGAAAGGCAGCGGCGGCACCGCGUCCGGUCCUCGAGCGUAUGGGGCUUUGUCACCCGCUCUGUAGGCCCGGCCGGCGCUUGCCGAUCAACCCAAAUUUUUAUCCAGGUUGACCUCGGAUCAGGUAGGGAUACCCGCUGAGCUUAAGCAUAUCAAUAAGCGGAGGA
Molecule: unclassified non-coding RNA, 345 nt
Filed under: soil metagenome
Description: partial contains 5.8S ribosomal RNA, internal transcribed spacer 2, and large subunit ribosomal RNA
Rfam family: 5.8S ribosomal RNA (bases 1-119)
Source: RNAcentral